RNAcentral lists this ribosomal RNA (301 nucleotides) under uncultured bacterium. Its description in RNAcentral is "partial 16S ribosomal RNA". It matches the Rfam family "Bacterial small subunit ribosomal RNA", at positions 509 to 807 of the family's 1533-position model. The record is from RNAcentral.
CAGCCGCCGCGGGAAUACGUAGGGUGCGAGCGUUAAUCGGGAUUACUGGGCGUAAAGCGUGCGCAGGCGGUUGUGUAAGACAGGUGUGAAAUCCCCGGGCUUAACCUGGGAACUGCAUUUGAAACUGGCAAGCUAGAGUCUUGUAGAGGGGGGUAGAAUUCCAGGUGUAGCGGUGAAAUGCGUAGAGAUCUGGAGGAAUACCGGCGGCGAAGGCGGCCCCCUGGACAAAGACUGACGCUCAGGUGCGAAAGCGUGGGGAGCAAACAGGAUUAGAUACCCCAGUAGUCCCUGUCUCUUAUAC